This 140-nucleotide small nuclear RNA is filed under the name Nothobranchius furzeri (turquoise killifish). RNAcentral's name for it is "U4 spliceosomal RNA (ENSNFUG00015021822.1)". It matches the Rfam family "U4 spliceosomal RNA". Rfam says of the family: U4 small nuclear RNA (U4 snRNA) is a component of the major U2-dependent spliceosome. The structure of U4 snRNA from yeast and human has been reported. U4 snRNA presents a k-turn RNA motif in the 5p-SL related to recognition of Snu13 protein. Lineage: Eukaryota; Metazoa; Chordata; Actinopteri; Cyprinodontiformes; Nothobranchiidae. The record is from Rfam by way of RNAcentral.
AUCCUUGCGCAGUGGCAGUAUUAUAGCCUAUGAGGUUCAUCUGACGUGUGAUUAUUGCUAGUUGAAAACUUUACCCAAUACCCACCUUGGUGAUUUGAAAUAUAAUCGUCAAAGGCUAUUUUUGACAGUCUCAAUGGAGA